Molecule: long non-coding RNA, 629 nt
Filed under: Nicotiana tabacum (common tobacco)
Lineage: Eukaryota; Viridiplantae; Streptophyta; Magnoliopsida; Solanales; Solanaceae
Description: long non-coding RNA (NTAB_LNC003064)
Source: RNAcentral
CUUACUGCGUAUCUCUUCACACUUCCACCGCCCACACCAUCCGUACCACUAACAGAUUCUGUGGAGCAGACGGUUGCCAGCAAUGGUACCAUUGUUGAGUUUUCUGCAAGAGCAAGGGGAAAAUUUGCUUUCCUUCGCCAACUUUUUGCUGCAAAGAAGGCUAAGAACUCACAGUAAGCUGGCAAAAUUUUCAACACUUUACUCUCAAGCAGAGGGAUGACAAGUGUUGAACAGAAACAAUGUUAGUCGAUUAACCAAUAAACAAAACCAAAGGAAGAAAAACAAGUAGAUAAUGUCAUUGUAAAGGAAGUUUGUUACCUGUACUUUCUUGUUCAUAUCCAAUCCUCUCAUUUUAUGGGAAUCUCUGUAGCGGUAGGCCGUAUAGUAACAGUUUUCUUUUGCAUUUUUCUCAGGAUAGUGAUGGCUGCUUCUCGGCAGAUAUUUCUAACAAUAUAUGUUGCUCUUCAGAAUGUUAUUCAUCUUAAGCUAAUUUUUAAAGUAUGUAACACUCCUAUUUUGAAUUGAGAUAUUUGUAGGAUUGUUAUUUUCAUACUGUAUAAUUCUCUUCUUUGUGGGAUCUUUUUCCCACAAGCAUAAUUGGAAAGCGAUUCUUUAUUGUGUUAUUAUUA